CUUGUAGUAGGUAAGCGAUGGGGUGACGCAGGAAGGUAGUCCAGCCCGGGCGGUGGUUGUCCCGGGGUAAGGGUGUAGGACGCACGGUAGGCAAAUCCGUCGUGCACAUAAGUCUGAGACCUGAUGCCGAGCCGAUUGUGGUGAAGUGGAUGAUCCUAUGCUGUCGAGA
This 169-nucleotide ribosomal RNA is filed under the name Streptomyces cavourensis. Its description in RNAcentral is "partial 23S ribosomal RNA". It matches the Rfam family "Bacterial large subunit ribosomal RNA", at positions 1447 to 1613 of the family's 2925-position model. The record is from RNAcentral. Lineage: Bacteria; Bacillati; Actinomycetota; Actinomycetes; Kitasatosporales; Streptomycetaceae.